RNAcentral lists this ribosomal RNA (253 nucleotides) under uncultured bacterium. Its description in RNAcentral is "partial 16S ribosomal RNA". It matches the Rfam family "Bacterial small subunit ribosomal RNA", at positions 524 to 776 of the family's 1533-position model. The record is from RNAcentral.
UACGUAGGGUGCAAGCGUUGCCCGGAUUUAUUGGGCGUAAAGGGCGCGUAGGCGGCUCUGCACGUUCGUUGUGAAAUCGCCCGGCUCAACUGGGCGGGGUCAGCGGAUACGGCAGAGCUUGAGCAAGCUAGGGGGCAAUGGAAUUCCCGGUGUAGUGGUGAAAUGCGCAGAUAUCAGGAGGAACACCGAUGGCGAAGGCAGGUCUCUGGGCAUUAACUGACGCUGAGGGGCGAAAGCAUGGGGAGCGAACAGG